This 96-nucleotide ribosomal RNA is filed under the name Phytomonas sp. isolate Ehigu. RNAcentral also lists the same sequence under 2 other names. The record is from RNAcentral. Lineage: Eukaryota; Euglenozoa; Kinetoplastea; Trypanosomatida; Trypanosomatidae.
CCGUCCGAUUUGUGAAGUUAAGCAGCCACAGGCUCAGUUAGUACUGAGGUCAGUGAUGACUCGGGAACCCUGAGUGCCGUACUCUCAAACGCACUC